RNAcentral lists this ribosomal RNA (459 nucleotides) under uncultured bacterium. RNAcentral describes it as "partial 16S ribosomal RNA". It matches the Rfam family "Bacterial small subunit ribosomal RNA", at positions 338 to 795 of the family's 1533-position model. The record is from RNAcentral.
CCUACGGGAGGCAGCAGUGAGGAAUAUUGGUCAAUGGGCGAGAGGCUGAACCAGCCAAGCCGCGUGAGGGACGACGGUCCCAUGGGUUGUAAACCUCUUUUGUCGGAGAACAAAAUCAGGGACGUGACCCGGACUGCGUGUAUCCGAAGAAAAAGCAUCGGCUAACUCCGUGCCAGCAGCCGCGGUAAUACGGAGGAUGCGAGCGUUAUCCGGAUUUAGUGGGUUUAAAGGGUGCGUAGGCGGUCCGUUAAGUCAGCGGUAAAAUUGCGGGGCUCAACCCCGUCGAGCCGUUGAAACUGGCUGACUUGAGUUGGCGAGAGGUACGCGGAAUGCGCGGUGUAGCGGUGAAAUGCUUAGAUAUCGCGCAGAACUCCGAUUGCGAAGGCAGCGUACCGGCGCCAGACUGACGCUGAGGCACGAAAGCGUGGGGAUCGAACAGGAUUAGAUACCCGGGUAGUC